CGAAGGAUCCAAGCGUUAUCCGGAUUUAUUGGGUUUAAAGGGUGCGUAGGCGGGCUAUUAAGUCAGUGGUGAAAGCCCCAAGCUUAACUUGGGAAUUGCCAUUGAUACUGAUUGUCUUGAGUACACUUGAAGUGGGCGGAAUGUGUCAUGUAGCGGUGAAAUGCUUAGAUAUGACACAGAACACCGAUUGCGAAGGCAGCUCACUAAAUUGUAACUGACGCUGAGGCACGAAAGCGUGGGGAUCAAACAGGAUUAGAUACCCUGGUAGUCCACGCCCUAAACGAUGGAUACUCGACAUCAGCGAUACACUGUUGGUGUCUGAGCGAAAGCAUUAAGUAUCCCACCUGGGAAGUACGAUCGCAAGAUUG
This 368-nucleotide ribosomal RNA is filed under the name uncultured organism. RNAcentral's name for it is "bacterial SSU rRNA". It matches the Rfam family "Bacterial small subunit ribosomal RNA", at positions 526 to 896 of the family's 1533-position model. The record is from RNAcentral.